ACGGUUCUAAUUUUUUUUUAUUAAUUACAUAAAUUCAUUUAUAUUUGAAGUGCGAGAAUUGUUCAACCGGAAAAUAAUUUAACAGGGGAAAACAGAGCAGGAAGGGAGAGGAUUCCUUAAAGCCAAAGCUAUGUGAAGAACUCAAUGCACAAUAACCAUACCACAAGAAUUUAUAACUCCAAAAAAAUAAUAUGAUUUACCAUUACUAAAUAAGAACAUUGUUGAAGUUAAACAAAGUACAGAAAACAUAUCCAAAAUAAACAAAUACCCACAAUCCAAAUUACACCAAAUUAGCUCCAUUCCCAGUCAUUUUAGAGAAAGAAAGAAAGAGUAUUUACAGACAAUCAUCUUCUCUCUCGUCAACCCAUUUUCUCUCUCUAGAUGAUGAUUCAGUCAGCAGUAAGAAUUCAAUGAAUGGAAACUAAUCAAAAGUGGCAGCCGCAACAGAUGAAGAAAAUACAGAGUGUUGAGACCAAAACAAUCCCCUCAAAAACAGAGACGAUUUUGAACAAAAAAUCAUCCACAACCCAAUUGGGCAAGCUGAAGGACACCGCCUUCUUCCAUCUUAACCCGGAACUCCUCCUAAAUCUCCUCCAUGAACAACCCUUCUUCCCUAAACUCUUGAACAAGAACAUUAAAACACUUUCCUUAUUACUACUACUAGUAUUCUCCAUGCCUCUGCUUUCUCUCUCUCUAAAUUCUAGCUUUCUUGUGGGUUUCUCUCUACUUUCUCUCUCUAAAUUCUAACUUUCUUGUGGGUUUGUGUUUGGACUUGAUGUGUUGGUAAAUGGUAAGGGUUUUAUAAGGAGGGGAGUAUAGAAUAACUGUUCCGCG
This 834-nucleotide long non-coding RNA is filed under the name Panax ginseng (ginseng). RNAcentral describes it as "long non-coding RNA (PGIN_LNC005316)". The record is from RNAcentral. Lineage: Eukaryota; Viridiplantae; Streptophyta; Magnoliopsida; Apiales; Araliaceae.